RNAcentral lists this ribosomal RNA (433 nucleotides) under uncultured bacterium. RNAcentral describes it as "partial 16S ribosomal RNA". It matches the Rfam family "Bacterial small subunit ribosomal RNA", at positions 29 to 507 of the family's 1533-position model. The record is from RNAcentral.
AACGAACGCUGGCGGCAUGCCUAACACAUGCAAGUCGAACGAGACCUUCGGGUCUAGUGGCGCACGGGUGCGUAACGCGUGGGAACCUGCCCUUAGGUUCGGAAUAACUCCCCGAAAGGGGUGCUAAUACCGGAUAAUGUCUUCGGACCAAAGAUUUAUCGCCUUUGGAUGGGCCCGCGUUGGAUUAGCUAGUUGGUAGGGUAAAAGCCUACCAAGGCGACGAUCCAUAGCUGGUCUGAGAGGAUGAUCAGCCACACUGGGACUGAGACACGGCCCAGAAUCGUACGGGAGGCAGCAGUGGGGAAUAUUGGACAAUGGGCGAAAGCCUGAUCCAGCAAGGCCGCGUGAGUGAUGAAGGCCUUAGGGUUGUAAAGCUCUUUUACCCGGGAUGAUAAUGACAGUACCGGGAGAAUAAGCUCCGGCUAACUCCGUG